Long non-coding RNA from Otolemur garnettii (small-eared galago), 325 nucleotides. RefSeq lists it as uncharacterized. The record is from RefSeq and is a predicted model, not a curated record. The transcript has 3 exons. Lineage: Eukaryota; Metazoa; Chordata; Mammalia; Primates; Galagidae.
UGGACAUCACCAUGAAUCAAAGGCUGUGCCUUAGCAUAAUUGACUCUGUAACAGAGAGCAGAGCUCUGCAAGCUUCCAGUGAGGCUCCUUCUGGGUAAAAGUCUGCAACGAGAGAAGUUGCCUUGCCACCCCUCACCAGCACUUCCUCUGCGGGGCUCCUGCCCUUCCUCACCUCCCUGCUGGCUGCCCACACGCCCUGGUGGAACCGUCAGGCAUUUUGCACCUUAACGUGAAGACAUUUCAUGGUCCUCCCCAGACCCGCCUGCACUAAAGCUCCCAAUGCAGCUGCUGUCUGCAGACCCCCUGUACUGCCCAGGGAAGUGAG